UCUCUCUCUCCUCCUCUUUCUUCUUCCUCCCGCGACAUAGAAGGCAGAAGAGAGGUCGCGCGGUGUCGGCACUGGCCCCUGACGGCUCUGACCAUCCCCCGAAGCGCCUCAUCCACCAGCGUGCUCAGGAGAGGACGCCGCCUCCGUCCUACUAGAGCAUGGGCGGCGAUGAGGAUCCGAGCCGCGAUGGCGUAGGCUCCCGCAGGUUAGGGCUCCGCCUAGAUUCGGAGGCGAGGCCACGAAUGACCCAGGGACGGAACGAGGAUAGGGGAGGGCUCGAGGGGCUCUGG
RNAcentral lists this long non-coding RNA (290 nucleotides) under Hordeum vulgare. RNAcentral describes it as "long non-coding RNA (HVUL_LNC018009)". The record is from RNAcentral. Lineage: Eukaryota; Viridiplantae; Streptophyta; Magnoliopsida; Poales; Poaceae.